Molecule: ribosomal RNA, 402 nt
Filed under: Fusobacteriota bacterium
Lineage: Bacteria; Fusobacteriati; Fusobacteriota
Description: Fusobacteria bacterium partial 16S ribosomal RNA
Rfam family: Bacterial small subunit ribosomal RNA
Source: RNAcentral
UGGGGAAUUUUGCACAAUGGGGGAAACCCUGAUGCAGCGACGCCGCGUGAUUUAGAAGGCCUUCGGGUUGUAAAAAUCUUUUCUAUGGGAAGAAAAUGACAGUACCAUAGGAAUAAGGACCGGCUAAUUACGUGCCAGCAGCCGCGGUAAUACGUAAGGUCCGAGCGUUGUCCGGAAUCAUUGGGCGUAAAGGGUACGUAGGCGGGUAAGCAAGUUAGAAGUUAAAUCCUAUAGCUCAACUAUAGUAAGCUUUUAAAACUGCUCAUCUUGAGGUAUGGAAGGGAAAGUGGAAUUCCUAGUGUAGCGGUGAAAUGCGCAGAUAUUAGGAGGAAUACCGGUGGAGAAGGCGACUUUCUGGCCAUAACCUGACGCUGAGGUACGAAAGCGUGGGUAGCAAACAGG